GGGGGCGACACGGUUUCGACGGGGCUUACCGAGAACGAGGUUGCGCGUCGCGGACGCAGCUGGCCGCGUCAUCAAGCUGCAACGCCACUUACCUGGCAACCAGAACUACGCUCUCGCGGCGUAAUACCCGCGACGUCACCCGGAAACCCCGCCUGCGGUUCGCCGGUUCUGACGACCUGAAGUAGGCUAGGGCCGGGGUGCUAGCGUCCGCCCCGCUCCGAACCGAUAGGCGCGUACGCGCGCGGUGUCGCCGGCCGUCGAGCCUGCCGCGCGCCGACAAUCGAUCGACGGAUACACGCGUAGACGCCCGUUCGACGGAGUCUCGGACGCGGGUUCGACUCCCGCCGCCUCCACCA
Molecule: transfer-messenger RNA, 356 nt
Filed under: Trueperaceae
Lineage: Bacteria; Thermotogati; Deinococcota; Deinococci; Trueperales
Also listed under: 1 other name
Description: SKWV01 sp013697735 Standard tmRNA
Rfam family: transfer-messenger RNA
About the family: Bacterial tmRNA, also known as 10Sa RNA or SsrA, is named for its dual tRNA and mRNA-like properties. Its role is to liberate the mRNA from a stalled ribosome.
Source: RNAcentral